Molecule: long non-coding RNA, 3470 nt
Organism: Equus caballus (horse)
Lineage: Eukaryota; Metazoa; Chordata; Mammalia; Perissodactyla; Equidae
Source: RefSeq, a predicted model, not a curated record
AAGAACAGGGGGAGACGAGAUUGAAGACCCCGGGCCAGGCAGAUGGGAGCCAGCCAUCUGGAAGGUCUGCCCCCAAUCCAAUGUCCCCCAAGGACCCCCAGGGCUCAGGGAAGAAACAGGGCCUGUCACCAUUUUGGCGUGCUUGUUCCCGAGUGGGGAGGCUCAGAGGUGGGCAGGGGGCCCCGUCAGGUGUGUCUGCAGCACACUGUGGAGACCCCACAUGGCAGCCCGUCCACUCUGAGCCUGGCAGCGUGAAGACACGCCCUGUCACAGCCCCACGUGGAGGAGGCACCAGUCAACAGCAUCUCUGUAAAUCUGAUCCUUUUUCUCUACUUCGCCUUAUUUUCCGACUGCACUCAGCCAAGGAAGUUAACCCUUGUGCUCAGGCUCCUCUGCCUCAGGCCUGUCAGCCAGGCAGCUGAUGCUCUGAUAGAAACAUCUCCCUGAGGAGGGGCUCAGGAGGGGCCCAGACUGCGGCCAACGACAAGUUAGGUUUAUAUAUAGCAAAUUCUCCUAAAGUCAGCUCAUUCAUGUAUUCAACCAGCCUUCGCUCUGUGCCUACGACGUGGCAGGCACCACGCUAGGUACUGAGAUACAAAGAUUCAUUCAUUUUUCAUUUAAUAAUUAUUUAUUGAGUGCCCGCUGUGUGCGAGGCAUCUGCCACGGGUCUUCUUUGAUCAGGAGAGACGUGGCCCCAGAGCUCCGGGUCAGGAGCAAGAUAAACAUUUCAACAGACCUUCACAAUCAGAACAGGAUGCAGGGGAGGCACCAGGAGCUGUGGGAGAAUGGAGGUGGGGGUGGGGAGCACGGAUCCGGGAUGGAAAGCCCCUCAGGUCCCUUAUGAACUGAGCAAAUGAACAGAGCAGGCUUCAGGCGUUCAUUGCACAAGUCUUUAUUGAGCACCGGAUGUGUGCAAAGCAGCCUCGAGGGCAUUUAAGGUGACCACGCUACAGUCCCAGACUGGGACAAACGGACACCAUUUACAGAAGAAGUGAAGUCAGCUCAGAAAGGCAACGUUGAGUGUGCUUUGGGUUUUAAAAUGGAGUGGGAGACCCCGGAGGGGCUUCCUAAUGGCACCACCUGGGCUGUAGACCUCUUUCCCCAAACUUCCCUGCACUGACCACUUGCCACGGGGCAGUACAGAUGUGUGUUUGAACGGUGUCCACCUGCCCUGACGCUCUACGGCUCCUGAGGGCAGCGCCCACAGCAGGUUCCUCUUUGCAGCCCCGCAGCACAAGCCCAGAGCUGCGGCUACAGCCACCCCAAACACCCAGCGAUGGCACUGAACACACACAAAACCUCGGACCGAAGCUUGGAAGAGGGAGCAAGAGCUGGGAGGCUAAAGGUCACUGAUGCCACAGGUGAGGAUGUGGUCACCAAAGGUCGUGCAAGAUGAGAGGCAAGCAGGGAGGACAGCUGGCUCUGGGGGGGACGGCAGCCAGGGAAGGAAGGUCAGAGAGGUGGUGGGAGCAGCAGGCAGGCACAGAGCCCUCAGAGGCGACUGGAGAGUGAGCGGGAAGCAGAGGAUGGUCAAUCCCCAGAGAACGACGCCACAGAGAGGUUGAACCGGAAGCCAGCCCCUGGGGGCUCUUGAACGGGGAAAAUCAGUGCAGCAGGGCAGAGGGCAGACCUGGGAGAGCCCACGGGGCGGACAGGGCCUAGAGGAAGCAGCCACUUCCUUCUCUUUGGGGGAGUUUGGCUAGGAUGGGAAGGAGAGGAUGAAUCAAGAGCAUGUGGUAUUCAGAACAGGAGAGAUUGGAGCAUGCUGGGUCGACAGAGCGGCAGGAAUGACUGAAACAUCGAGAGGCAAAAGAAGUAAGAGUACAGGGACAGGUGGCCCCAAGAGCUGGUCACCACAGUCCUGGAAGAAUGCCAGGCUCUUGGCUAGGGAGUCGCGGUCUCUGCCUUCCUUGCGUCUCCUGGGGUUAGUCUCAGUGGGACAUGGGCAGGACUGCAGCCCAAAGGACAGGGCGGGGGCAAAUCCAAAUAUGUGGGCCGGCUCCACUGAGGAACUGGAGGUGGACCAGUGCGGAGUGGAAGGAACCCGGGGGAGCGGCCAGACUCCCUCUUCUCCAGGCUGCUUGGCACAGAGCUGGCCACACAACCAACCCCGAGGACCGGCUGCCCAAAGGGCGAGGAGAGAGACAGGCUCCACCUGCAUGCCGAGCUGCUGGGGAGAGGUGGCAUUUUCCUCCGGAGGCUGCAGCAGUAACCCCGCUCCAGGGUGCGGAAGGAGGAGAAAGAAAGCAGCUCAGCAGCCGGCCCAGCGCAGCGGACGGUUCCACAGACAAUCCGAGCAGCGUGGGCACUCUGCUGCUCCUUGCCGGUCAGGGGAUGGCCCAGGAGGAGCAAGAAGGGGACUGGAGGGGCGUGCAGCUCCAGGAGGGUUCUUUCCUGCUGCUGCCCAGGCACACGGGCUGGCGGUCAAGAAUCUCAACCGGACACAGAGCCUGGUUCUGGGCCCGGAUUGUUCUGGAUGCCAGACUAGGACACUCACAGUGCCCCUGCUGGACCUGGGCUAGUGUGUGUUUUGUUUUCUAGCUGAGACAGAUGCUGAGUGAAGGCCCAGUGGAGAAUAGAUGUCACUCUCCUGGGAUGGUUCCUUGGAGUUAGAGAUUUCCAGCUAAGAACCCUGGGGCACCCCCUCCAUGGGACAGGCGGCCAUACAUUGUGAGUUACUUUAUCCGAGUCCCCUUGCCUGCCUCUCCAGACAGCAGUGGUCAGGGCGUGGCAAGGAUGGAUGAGGGUGAAGUUUCUCUAGGUGCCAGACUGAGUCUCUCCCUUUAUCACAGUCCCUGUUCUUUGACUGGAGGCGGGUGGUGUCUGUCUUUGCAGUCCUGAUGGAACCGGGGGCCCUGUCUCCCUUCCUGGCUCGUACAUUGACAUUAACGGCAGGUUCCUUCUGCCAAAGCCAAAGCCAGAUUUUUAAAUUAAUAAUAACAUUUAUUGUUCUUUUUCUCUGAUUACAAAAGUAAUAGAUGUUCAUUGUAACCAUUGUCCCACCCACUAGAGAUAAAUGCUGCCAACAUUUUCAUGUAGUCUUUUUUUUCUAUGCACAUAAUAGCCACCAUUUAUUGCAAGCUAACACGGUGCCAGCCGCUACACAAAGCUCUUUAGAAACAAGAUCCCAUUUAACCCUGAACAGCCCAUGAGGAGGGCACCAUCGUAUCCCCAAUUUUUCAGGAGAGGAAACUGAGGCUCCGGAAGCACAUUCACAAACCCAGUGUGUGAUACAGCCGAGAUGUGAACCCACAGGUGUGUGUGUGUACGUACGUACACGCAACAUCUGGUACUAUCCUAUGUAUGUGGGUGCCAGAGUUUAUUAAGAUCAAAGCGCCAGUGAAAGAAAAAGAAAAUUGAGGCAUUAGGAAGAGGAAUUUUCGUAAUUCUAGCAAAACUCUAAUGAAAUGUGAAACAAAUUGCUUCAUGACUGUUGGAAUUUAUUAAAGAUUGCACAAUGUCACCAGGAA